This 252-nucleotide ribosomal RNA is filed under the name uncultured bacterium. Its description in RNAcentral is "partial 16S ribosomal RNA". It matches the Rfam family "Bacterial small subunit ribosomal RNA", at positions 524 to 773 of the family's 1533-position model. The record is from RNAcentral.
UACAGAGGGGGCAAGCGUUAUUCGGAAUUAUUGGGCGUAAAGGGCGCGUAGGCGGCCAUUCAAGUGACGGGUGAAGCCCUCGGCUUAACCGAGGAACUGCCUGUCAGACUGGAUGGCUUGGAGACCGGGAGAGGUGAAGUGGAAUUCCCAGUGUAGGCGGUGAAAUGCGUAGAUAUUGGGAGGAACACCAGUGGCGAAGGCGGCUCACUGGACCGGAACUGACGCUGAGGCGCGAAAGCGUGGGGAGCAACA